Molecule: ribosomal RNA, 253 nt
Filed under: uncultured bacterium
Lineage: Bacteria
Description: partial 16S ribosomal RNA
Rfam family: Bacterial small subunit ribosomal RNA
Source: RNAcentral
UACGUAGGGUGCGAGCGUUAAUCGGAAUUACUGGGCGUAAAGCGUGCGCAGGCGGUUUUGUAAGACAGAUGGGAAAUCCCCGGGCUCAACCCGGGAACUGCAUUUGUGACUGUAUCGCUGGAGUGCGGCAGAGGGGGAUGGAAUUCCGCGUGUAGCAGUGAAAUGCGUAGAUAUGCGGAGGAACACCGAUGGCGAAGGCAAUCCCCUGGGCCUGCACUGACGCUCAUGCACGAAAGCGUGGGGAGCAAACAGG